Non-coding RNA from Frankliniella occidentalis (western flower thrips), 87 nucleotides. The record is from the annotation of a RefSeq genome assembly. Lineage: Eukaryota; Metazoa; Arthropoda; Insecta; Thysanoptera; Thripidae.
GUCAGGAUGGCCGAGUGGUCUAAGGCGUCGGGCACACAUCCCGAUCCCACUGGGCGUGGGGCGUGGGUUCAAAUCCCACUCCUGACA